GAAUUCGCCCUUAGAGUUUGAUCCUGGCUCAGGAUGAACGCUAGCGGCGGGCCUAAUACAUGCAAGUCGAGGGGCAGCAGUACUUUUCGGAGUAGCUGGCGACCGGCGCACGGGUGCGUAACGCGUAUGCAAUCUACCCACUGCAGAGGGAUAGCCCGUGGAAACAUGGAUUAAUACCUCAUAAUACAGGGAGCCCACCUGGGCAUAUUGUUAAAGCUCCGGCGGCAGUGGAUGAGCAUGCGUCCCAUUAGUUAGUUGGUACGGUAACGGCGUACCAAGACGAUGAUGGGUAGGGGUUCUGAGAGGAUGAUCCCCCACACUGGUACUGAGACACGGACCAGACUCCUACGGGAGGCAGCAGUAGGGAAUAUUGGUCAAUGGACGCAAGUCUGAACCAGCCAUGCCGCGUGCAGGAAGACGGCCUUCUGGGUUGUAAACUGCUUUUCUCAGGGAAGAAAACGCUCUUGCGAGAGUACUUGCCGGUACCUGAGGAAUAAGCACCGGCUAACUCCGUGCCAGCAGCCGCGGUAAUAAGGGCG
This 539-nucleotide ribosomal RNA is filed under the name uncultured Bacteroidota bacterium. RNAcentral describes it as "bacterial SSU rRNA". It matches the Rfam family "Bacterial small subunit ribosomal RNA", at positions 1 to 531 of the family's 1533-position model. Lineage: Bacteria; Pseudomonadati; Bacteroidota. The record is from RNAcentral.